AGUGAACGCUGGCGGUAGGCCUAACACAUGCAAGUCGAACGGCAGCACAGUAAGAGCUUGCUCUUACGGGUGGCGAGUGGCGGACGGGUGAGGAAUACAUCGGAAUCUACUUUUUCGUGGGGGAUAACGUAGGGAAACUUACGCUAAUACCGCAUACGACCUACGGGUGAAAGCAGGGGAUCUUCGGACCUUGCGCGAUUGAAUGAGCCGAUGUCGGAUUAGCUAGUUGGCGGGGUAAAGGCCCACCAAGGCGACGCUCCGUAGCUGGUCUGAGAGGAUGAUCAUCCACACUGGAACUGAGACACGGUCCAGACUCCUACGGUAGGCAGCAGUGGGGAAUAUUGGACAAUGGGCGCAAGCCUGAUCCAGCCAUACCGCGUGGGUGAAGAAGGCCUUCGGGUUGUAAAGCCCUUUUGUUGGGAAAGAAAAGCAGCAGGUUAAUACCCCGCUGUUCUGACGGUACCCAAAGAAUAAGCACCGGCUAACUUCGUG
This 492-nucleotide ribosomal RNA is filed under the name uncultured bacterium. RNAcentral describes it as "partial 16S ribosomal RNA". It matches the Rfam family "Bacterial small subunit ribosomal RNA", at positions 29 to 507 of the family's 1533-position model. The record is from RNAcentral.